This 468-nucleotide ribosomal RNA is filed under the name uncultured bacterium. Its description in RNAcentral is "partial 16S ribosomal RNA". It matches the Rfam family "Bacterial small subunit ribosomal RNA", at positions 28 to 507 of the family's 1533-position model. The record is from RNAcentral.
GACGAACGCUGGCGGCGUGCUUAACACAUGCAAGUCGAACGGAAAGGCCCUGCUUUUGUGGGGUGCUCGAGUGGCGAACGGGUGAGUAACACGUGAGUAACCUGCCCUUGACUUUGGGAUAACUUCAGGAAACUGGGGCUAAUACCGGAUAGGAGCUCCUGCUGCAUGGUGGGGGUUGGAAAGUUUCGGCGGUUGGGGAUGGACUCGCGGCUUAUCAGCUUGUUGGUGGGGUAGUGGCUUACCAAGGCUUUGACGGGUAGCCGGCCUGAGAGGGUGACCGGCCACAUUGGGACUGAGAUACGGCACAGACUCCUACGGGAGGCAGCAGUGGGGAAUAUUGCACAAUGGGCGGAAGCCUGGUGCAGCAACGCCGCGUGCGGGAUGACGGCCUUCGGGUUGUAAACCGCUUUCGCCUGUGACGAAGCGUGAGUGACGGUAAUGGAUAAAGAAGCACCGGCUAACUACGUG